This 57-nucleotide transfer RNA is filed under the name Bos taurus (domestic cattle). It matches the Rfam family "tRNA", at positions 8 to 63 of the family's 71-position model. Rfam says of the family: Transfer RNA (tRNA) molecules are approximately 80 nucleotides in length. Their secondary structure includes four short double-helical elements and three loops (D, anti-codon, and T loops). Further hydrogen bonds mediate the characteristic L-shaped molecular structure. tRNAs have two regions of fundamental functional importance: the anti-codon, which is responsible for specific mRNA codon recognition, and the 3' end, to which the tRNAs corresponding amino acid is attached (by aminoacyl-tRNA synthetases). tRNAs cope with the degeneracy of the genetic code in two manners: having more than one tRNA (with a specific anti-codon) for a particular amino acid; and 'wobble' base-pairing, i.e. permitting non-standard base-pairing at the 3rd anti-codon position. RNAcentral also lists the same sequence under 4 other names. Lineage: Eukaryota; Metazoa; Chordata; Mammalia; Artiodactyla; Bovidae. The record is from Rfam by way of RNAcentral.
UGGCUCAGAUGGUAAAGCAUCUGCCUGCAACGUGGGAGACCCAGGUUCGAUCCCUGG